RNAcentral lists this long non-coding RNA (278 nucleotides) under Homo sapiens (human). RNAcentral describes it as "non-protein coding lnc-TMEM169-9:1". The record is from RNAcentral. Lineage: Eukaryota; Metazoa; Chordata; Mammalia; Primates; Hominidae.
ACUCAGAUGAGCCCAGAGAAAACUGAAGAAGAGAGAGCCGGUCUUUAGUGGGCUCAGGCUGGGACCAUUGGCUCAGACAGGCCUCUCAGGACUUCAUAUCUCUGCACCGUCGCCUGUGCCUUUAGAUUUCAUCACUCUACACUAAUUUUCACAGCUGUACUGUAAAAUCCAUAGGAAACUCUCAGAAGCUACUGAAAAGAACCUACUAUAUAACCAAUAAGUGAUUAAGUGAAUCUUGUAAGCCAUAGAGACUCCCACAGUAACCAAGCACUGGACCA